Molecule: ribosomal RNA, 301 nt
Filed under: uncultured bacterium
Lineage: Bacteria
Description: partial 16S ribosomal RNA
Rfam family: Bacterial small subunit ribosomal RNA
Source: RNAcentral
CAGUCGCCGCGGGAAUACGAAGGGGGCUAGCGUUGCUCGGAAUGACUGGGCGUAAAGGGCGCGUAGGCGGAUUGUUUAGUUAGGCGUGAAAUUCCUGGGCUUAACCUGGGGACUGCGCUUAAUACAGGCAGUCUAGAGUGAGGAAGAGGGUUGUGGAAUUCCCAGUGUAGAGGUGGAAUUCGUAGAUAUUGGGAAGAACACCGGUGGCGAAGGCGGCAACCUGGUCCUUGACUGACGCUGAGGCGCGAAAGCGUGGGGAGCAAACAGGAUUAGAUACCCGCGUAGUCCCUGUCUCUUAUAC